CCAGGUAGGACAGGCUGCAGGGCUGGGGCCAUCUCCGAGACCCCCGGGGCUUUGCUGCAGAGAGUCUCCUUCUGUAGGUCUCUCCUUGAGGACUGAGAGAGGAUUCUGGGUCAGGCCUGUGAUCACGAGGAGGAGCCUCCUUGGGGUUUUCCCCUUUCCCACGGCUAAUUGAGCGAGAAGACAGACGUCCCUGUGGAGCAGAUUUAGCCCCUCCAUCUCCAACGAGAAACCUUCUCAUGUAGCCGCAGAAACAGCAGGGAAGACCAGGCUCCCCUGCCCGGACGCUGCUGGAGGAAAACACACAAACGUCAGAACGGUUCUUUUUUUCAGGAUGGAAAAUCUUCAGCAUCUUGUCAGGUCUCCCCUGUGCCCCGAGAGACCCCACAAAGGUGCUCAGCCCCCCAGUUAUUCUCCCCUCUUCGGAUCAGCUUCAGGAAUGGCCAGUUUAAAAAUUACUGGACAUGAGUCAGCAUCUGUUUGCCAUUUUCUCUCAUUCUCGCAGUUGGAAAUAAAAUCACCUCAGGUUUUGUCA
Mauremys reevesii (Reeves's turtle) is the source of this 532-nucleotide long non-coding RNA. RefSeq lists it as uncharacterized. The record is from RefSeq and is a predicted model, not a curated record. The transcript has 2 exons. Lineage: Eukaryota; Metazoa; Chordata; Testudines; Geoemydidae.